UAUGGCCAUAUUACAUUGAAACACCAGUUCUCAUACAAUCACUGUAGUUAAGCAAUGUCAAGCCUGGUCAGUACCUAGAUGGGUGACCACUUCAAAAUACCAGGUGCUGUAAG
Acanthosepion pharaonis is the source of this 113-nucleotide non-coding RNA. Lineage: Eukaryota; Metazoa; Mollusca; Cephalopoda; Sepiida; Sepiidae. The record is from the annotation of a GenBank genome assembly.